This 776-nucleotide ribosomal RNA is filed under the name uncultured Neocallimastigales. RNAcentral's name for it is "partial large subunit ribosomal RNA". It matches the Rfam family "Eukaryotic large subunit ribosomal RNA", at positions 22 to 634 of the family's 3401-position model. Lineage: Eukaryota; Fungi; Neocallimastigomycota; Neocallimastigomycetes; Neocallimastigales. The record is from RNAcentral.
CAUAGCGACUAUCGUGGCAUAUCAAUAAGCGGAGGAAAAGAAACUAACAAGGAUUCCCUUAGUAACGGCGAGUGAAGCGGGAAGAGCUCAAAUUUGAAAUCUUCAAGGUUUUACCUUGACGAAUUGUAGUUUAAAGAAGUGUUUUCUGUUGGAAGUUUUGGUAAAAGUUCUUUGGAAUAGGACAUCAUAGAGGGUGAGAAUCCCGUAUUUGACCAUUAUUUUCCAGCUGUGUGAUACACUUUCAAAGAGUCGGAUUGUUUGGGAAUGCAGUCCAAAAUGGGUGGUAAAUUUCAUCUAAAGCUAAAUAUUGGCGAGAGACCGAUAGCGAACAAGUACCGUGAGGGAAAGAUGAAAAGAACUUUGAAAAGAGAGUUAAACAGUACGUGAAAUUGUCAAAAGGGAAGCGUUUGACACCAGUGUUGUUUUCUCGAAAAUCAAUUAAAAAUGGCCGGAUUUUGUGUUGUAUUGACUUUAUCAGCUUUCUGCACUUUUUUCUUGUCUUUUUUAAUGCACUUUUCGUUUAACAAGUCAACAUCAAUUUCUUUUGCUGUAAAAGAGUCAUUGGAAGGUGGCUUUCAUUUCGGUGAAAGUGUUUAUAGCCUUUGACUACUGCUAUCGGAGAGAUUGAGGUCUGCAGCGUAGAUCCUUCGGGGUUAGAUACAUUUGUGCUAAAUUAUAGUUUUUCAUAGACAACAUGUUGACUAUGAUUAAUCAUGUAGCUUACUCGCUUAUGCUAUUUUACCUACGCUUAGGAUGUUGAUAGUCACAGCGUGUAC